GAUGAACGCUGGCGGCGUGCUUAACACAUGCAAGUCGAACGGAAAGGCCCAAGCUUGCUUGGGUGCUCGAGUGGCGAACGGGUGAGUAACACGUGGGUGAUCUGCCCUGCACUUUGGGAUAAGCCUGGGAAACUGGGUCUAAUACCGGAUAGGACCAUCGUUUAGUGUCGGUGGUGGAAAGUUUUUCGGUGUGGGAUGAGCUCGCGGCCUAUCAGCUUGUUGGUGGGGUAAUGGCCUACCAAGGCGUCGACGGGUAGCCGGCCUGAGAGGGUGUACGGUCACAUUGGGACUGAGAUACGGCCCAGACUCCUACGGGAGGCAGCGGUGGGGAAUAUUGCACAAUGGGCGCAAGCCUGAUGCAGCGACGCCGCGUGGGGGAUGACGGCCUUCGGGUUGUAAACUCCUUUCGCCAAGGACGAAGCGUUUUGUGACGGUACUUGGAGAAGAAGCACCGGCUAACUACGUG
RNAcentral lists this ribosomal RNA (466 nucleotides) under uncultured bacterium. Its description in RNAcentral is "partial 16S ribosomal RNA". It matches the Rfam family "Bacterial small subunit ribosomal RNA", at positions 28 to 507 of the family's 1533-position model. The record is from RNAcentral.